UACAGAGGCCUCGAGCGUUAAUCGGAAUCACUGGGCUUAAAGGGUGCGUAGGCGGCGCUGCAAGUGCCUUGUAAAAUCCCAUCGCUUAACGAUGGAACUGCUCGGUAGACUGCAGUGCUUGAGGUUGGUAGGGGCUGCCGGAACUCUAGGUGGAGCGGUGAAAUGCGUAGAUAUCUAGAGGAACGCCCAAGGCGAAGGCAGGCAGCUGGGCCAAUUCUGACGCUGAGGCACGAAAGCGUGGGGAGCAAACGGG
Molecule: ribosomal RNA, 253 nt
Filed under: uncultured bacterium
Lineage: Bacteria
Description: partial 16S ribosomal RNA
Rfam family: Bacterial small subunit ribosomal RNA
Source: RNAcentral